This 460-nucleotide ribosomal RNA is filed under the name uncultured bacterium. RNAcentral's name for it is "partial 16S ribosomal RNA". It matches the Rfam family "Bacterial small subunit ribosomal RNA", at positions 338 to 795 of the family's 1533-position model. The record is from RNAcentral.
CCUACGGGCGGCAGCAGUGAGGAAUAUUGGUCAAUGGACGAGAGUCUGAACCAGCCAAGUAGCGUGAAGGAUGACUGCCCUAUGGGUUGUAAACUUCUUUUAUAUGGGAAUAAAAUGUUCCACGUGUGGGAUUUUGUAUGUACCAUAUGAAUAUGGAUCGGCUAACUCCGUGCCAGCAGCCGCGGUAAUACGGAGGAUCCGAGCGUUAUCCGGAUUUAUUGGGUUUAAAGGGAGCGUAGGUGGAUUGUUAAGUCAGUUGUGAAAGUUUGCGGCUCAACCGUAAAAUUGCAGUUGAAACUGGCAGUCUUGAGUACAGUAGAGGUGGGCGGAAUUCGUGGUGUAGCGGUGAAAUGCUUAGAUAUCACGAAGAACUCCGAUUGCGAAGGCAGUUCACUGGACUGCAACUGACACUGAGGCUCGAAAGUGUGGGUAUCAAACAGGAUUAGAUACCCGAGUAGUC